GGAGUUCGGGGCCUGAAUUCGCCAGCUAGAAGAGCCGCUGUUGCUGAAAUUGCUGCUUGCCAUCGCCUUGGUAUCCUAUGUCUGCAAGAAACAAAAAUCUCCACCUGGACUGCUGAUUUGGCCAAAGAAGUUGGCGGUGCAAAACUUAGAGACUGCGUUGUGCUGCCUGCUCUUGACACUAGAGGGGGUGCUGCCAUCUUCUGGGACCCUGAUAUUGUGGAGAUCAACUCCCAUGCAAUUGGACAGUUUGCUAUAACUGCUUAA
This 264-nucleotide ribosomal RNA is filed under the name Triticum aestivum (bread wheat). Its description in RNAcentral is "partial small subunit ribosomal RNA". The record is from RNAcentral. Lineage: Eukaryota; Viridiplantae; Streptophyta; Magnoliopsida; Poales; Poaceae.